GCUGCAAUUAAAGAACAAAAAAGGACUAUACCGCAAAAUUACGUAAUAUACCUAACAAUUCAAAGAUGUAAUCAUUUAUACAAGUCUUCCAGAGAUACACGUCACAGAAGAACCGCAAGACACCCUUACACUGGUAUUCCGAAAAUUUUCGUUCUCCUCCUUUCAUGCUCUAAUUCUUGUAUUUCAAUAUCGUCGGUGAUUAAUUGUACCCUGCAGGAUGUGAAUUCAAACUGUAGAACUGGAAUAACCAAUGAAAUAAGUUUCCAUAUACCAAAAGAUUCAUCCAUUAAAUGUAGAGGUAAAAGUACAGUAACUAUCACAAUGUAUAGUUUUGAAGUUUCCAAAGAAAAAAAUAUGUAAGAAAAGAAAUGAAAAACAAACGGUUUACCCUUUAUUAAGACCACCGGGUUAGUAAAGCAUAGAACUAUUAAUAGAUGCAAAAGUAUUGCAUUCUUAGAGGCUAUUAAAGCAUAAAACCAUUAAUAAGUCUUUAAAAGAUUAGAUAUCCGGCCAAUUUAAUAUCAAUGCAGCCCGACCAUUUUUUUCUUAUUACAGUUAAUAAUCACUCAAAAAUACGAAUGACACAGUAUUUUAUUCUAUAAUGAAAAAUAACAGGAACCCACAAAUAGUUACAUCCAAGUAAUAAUUUUGCUAUAGCAACGAGAAAAAUAUAGGCAAAUAAUUAAUGAUGAUUAGACGUCGCCUAUGGGGAUUAUGGCCAAAAGCAACAGAAGUCUCAGUUGAAACAGUUCAAAUUUUGGGAAAAUUGUACAUAUAAAUAAAGUUUUUCUCUGCACCACAAAAUGAAACCAUCCUAAAUAUAUUUACAUAAGAUGGAAAGUUAUACCCAAUUUAUAAGUCUGUAAAUGGAAAUACGCACAGUUUAUCUUCGCAGUUCGGUGGUCACCAUCAACUGCAAAAUGAGUCCUCAAGCCUCCAUCUUUUUCUACUGAAAUUUACAACAGCCCUAACUG
RNAcentral lists this long non-coding RNA (974 nucleotides) under Erythranthe guttata (spotted monkey flower). RNAcentral's name for it is "long non-coding RNA (EGUT_LNC002563)". Lineage: Eukaryota; Viridiplantae; Streptophyta; Magnoliopsida; Lamiales; Phrymaceae. The record is from RNAcentral.